GCUGUGAAUUUUUGCUCCCUCUCUGAGGGAGGCUGGUGAUCUUGACCUUACAUUCAAGAGAAAUGUUGGAGCUCUAUUCUACUCUUCAGGUAAAGGAUGAAAAACCUGCAGAUGAGAUGAUGUUCUUUCCUCCCACGCUGUCCAGUAGGCAAGAUUCCAGCCUGAAGAGGAGCACCCUGAACACAAGCUAGAGUCCUUGCUUGAUCCUGUAGUGGCUAGCCACUGAAACACUACUGAUCUCUACUUGAAGACAUUGGAGAAAGAAAAGCUGAACAAGACGUAUCUAAGGAAGAUGUAACAAGUGACAUGCUGAGGGGGGGGACUCAAUUGCCAUUGCUAUGCCUGCGGCAUCCUCACUUGUCUCCAGCUGCUUUCUCAGCAGGGAACACGGCUUUUUGUUUUGUGUCAUAUCUUCUAGCCCCGUGAUGGUCUCUUGGACACCAUAACGCAUCUCAAAUGACACAAGACACUUAUGAACAUAUACCUAAGCCCUAUUCAUUAUGUCUUUAAGAGAAUUUUGUAUUCAAGAGGGAUUCUCAAGGUACAGAAUGUGUAAGAAACCUUUGCUUGUGCACCAGUUCUUCUAGCUUUAAGAAAUAGACAUUUAGGGUAAAGUGAGUUUAAAAAAAUCCACAUGAAUUUCUUGGGCAAUUCUUUGACUUUUCAGUAUAGGAUUGCAGCAACUUCCUGGUUAGUGAGGGUUUCAUCUGAGUUUUUACUGUAAGCUUGGUGGUUGGUUUCUUAUCUGAAAUUUGCCAAAUAAUAACUAUUGUGCUGUAGUAAACAAGUCUAAAAAAUGGACUGAGAAAUAAUGCUAACUGGGCCCUACUUCUCCAGUCAAGGCUAUAUCCAGAAUCAUUAUUUUGCAUAAAGAAAUUCACCUAUCGAAUAUAAUUCAAUUUUCCAGGGAAAAUCAGUUCUGUGACCUAGAUAGUAAUAAACAGAACCCUGUGCAUGCAUUAGCCUCUGAACAACAGUUAAGGCCACAAUAAAUUUUGCACUUACAGAGAAACUGAAUCUACUCUUUCUCAUGAAAAAUUCAGACUUCAUG
Cygnus olor (mute swan) is the source of this 1051-nucleotide long non-coding RNA. RefSeq lists it as uncharacterized. Lineage: Eukaryota; Metazoa; Chordata; Aves; Anseriformes; Anatidae. The transcript has 3 exons. The record is from RefSeq and is a predicted model, not a curated record.